This 883-nucleotide long non-coding RNA is filed under the name Equus asinus (donkey). Its description in RNAcentral is "lncRNA (ENSEASG00005032855.1)". The record is from RNAcentral. Lineage: Eukaryota; Metazoa; Chordata; Mammalia; Perissodactyla; Equidae.
CAGGGGAAGAAACUGCUGGUCCUCUAAGGAGGUGAGAAGUAGCAGGAGAGAGAAAGAACCAGGAGGAUGAGGAGCUGUGGGUCAAGCCAGGAAACUUCCACCAGGGAGGCUGGGAGUCAGGACAAAAAGCACUGUCCAGAUGGUGGAGCCUCUAGGAGCCUGGGUCUCUUGGAGCGGACAGCGUGAGCAGAGCCCCAGCUGACCACAUUGGGCACAGAGCAUGUGUUUUAAGCUACUGAUAUUUGCAGGUUGUUUGGCAGAGAUGACUAGUCACCUGCCGAAGAUCCGUGCAUACCCGUGUUAUGUAGAGUUAGUCCUUGGAAGCAAGUCUCCAGCCACGGAUGACAUUUCUAGCAUCCCCUCCCCUGCAAUCUAGAGGGAACCACGUGACUCGUUCUCACUAAUGGAAUGUGACGUGAAGUGGCUUACUUCUGGGUCAAGGUGGUUAAAUUCAGGUAUCUGAGCAGCCACCAGGUGACCAGCUCCAUGGAGGACAACAGUGGAGAACAAGACAGUCAAGCACACUGCUCUCACAGAACUUAUGUUCUAAUCCUCCCCUCUCCAAGGUGCCUGGAGCUGCUUUGGGGACGAGACAACUCGAGGUGACAUGGCGCAGGAUUACAGGCAUGAAGCCCACAGAGGGAAGGAUGCUCCCUUUCACUUCUCCUUUGAUCUCUCUGAUUAAGCACCUUCUCUGGUGCUAGACUGUCUUAUCUUUAACACCUUUCUAACACUUCGGUUGUAUCUUUUUUACAAAGAGCAGGCAGCCGGCCUUCAGCUUACAAUAGGCAGCAGCCAGAAUAUGGCUUGAUUGUUUUGUUUUUGUUGUAUUUAUUUUCCCAGUUACUACUUGCUUAUGGCAAGUAAUUCAGUUUUCUUUUCA